Molecule: small RNA, 538 nt
Filed under: Histoplasma capsulatum
Lineage: Eukaryota; Fungi; Ascomycota; Eurotiomycetes; Onygenales; Ajellomycetaceae
Also listed under: 1 other name
Description: hypothetical RNA
Source: RNAcentral
CCGAUAUUCUUCCAUCCCGAUCCUCCUUCUAUAAGAACCCCCUUGUACGACCCCUUCUUCUGAUCUUCUUUCUCUUUCUUUCCUUAAUUGAUUUGUAAACUGUUAUCAGGAUAGUGUCAAGUCCAUUGAUAUUGCCGUUGGAACGGAUCGUACAAACUGUGCAGGCAGUACAAACAGUUUAAUCUGCAACAUCAGUAACAUCUGCUUAAUCAGUGGCACAUCCAUUACAUUAUGAAUCAAUUCAUCUGUGUCAGCCUGAGUGCCCUGUGUUUACAAUCACACCUAGGUGCCCAAGUUAAGUUUAAGAAUAAGUUACCCAAGUUCUAUAAAGCCACACCACUGUGAUAGUGCUGUGAAGAAGCCCAAGUGCUUAGAAGUUCACAACUGCGUGUCUGUGAAGAGGCCAGAGUGCCUACAAAGUAUUUCCUCCAAAAGAAUAAGAACUGAACCUUCUGGUCUCCAAGUUACCAGGAUCAAGAACCAUGGCCUCAUACAAAAACAAGAUGAAUUACAAACACCCCUACAAACACCCUUCCAC